RNAcentral lists this ribosomal RNA (497 nucleotides) under uncultured bacterium. RNAcentral's name for it is "partial 16S ribosomal RNA". It matches the Rfam family "Bacterial small subunit ribosomal RNA", at positions 28 to 507 of the family's 1533-position model. The record is from RNAcentral.
GAUGAACGCUGGCGGCGUGCCUAAUACAUGCAAGUCGAGCGAACAGACGCGGAGCUUGCUCCUCUGACGUUAGCGGCGGACGGGUGAGUAACACGUGGAUAACCUACCUAUAAGACUGGGAUAACUUCGGGAAACCGGAGCUAAUACCGGAUAAUAUAUUGAACCGCAUGGUUCAAUAGUGAAAGACGGUUUUGCUGUCACUUAUAGAUGGAUCCGCGCCGCAUUAGCUAGUUGGUAAGGUAACGGCUUACCAAGGCAACGAUGCGUGGCCGACCUGAGAGGGUGAUCGGCCACACUAGAACUGGGACACGGUCCAGGCUCCUACGGGAGGCAGCAGUAGGGAAUCGUCCGCAAUGGGCGAGAGCCUGACGGAGCAACGCCGCGUGAGUGAUGAAGGUCUUCGGAUCGUAAAACUCUGUUAUUAGGGAAGAACAAAUGUGUAAGUAACUAUGCACGUCUUGACGGUACCUAAUCAGAAAGCCACGGCUAACUACGUG